ACUGUCAUAAUUAUUUUUGGUAGAACUGAUCUUGUGAAAGACCUUGGAAAUGUUUCUUCUUUAGCUAAGACUAGAAUUUUGAAACUGGACUUGCCAAUCCUACAAUAGGUUUGCUCUUUCCUAGCUGGCCACCUUUCCUCUCUAUCCACAAAAGAAAACACUGAGGAGUAGAUUGUGUAAAUAGCCCUUCUAAAGAGGCCAUAGAUACAACACAGCUUUAAUUUUAAAGGAAAGUAAAGAUCCUUUUCUGAUUUGGAAAGAGCAAUGAAUUUGUUGAAUUAAGGUCUCAACUCUUAUUACUUACUAACUGUGUGACCUUAGCUAAGUCUCCACCUCUCUGAAUCUCAGUGUCCUCAGCUGGAGAGAAAAAACAGGAACCACCUCAACAGGGUUUGGAGAAGGAAAGUGCUCUGUUAACAAUACAAUUCUAUAGAAAUAAGAUUCAACUACAUUUGGGAUUGGUGAAAACUGUAUCAUGGACAAACGGGCCAGUGUUGUUUCAAAGAAGUUACUUCUAUUUGAGUGCUAAGUUUGGUGAUUCUGUGAAAUGGGCUGUCUCAGGAAGUAGUGAAAUCUCUCCCACUGGACAUUUUCAAGAAGAUUCUGGAAGACCAUCUUUUAAGAACAGGGACUGAAAGAUUCCUGCUCAGGUAUGGUUUAGACUACAUGACUUCUUAAGUCCCUGAAGACUUAAUUGAAUGUCAGCAUGAAUCAUCUUCCAGAGUUUAGGAUGGUAUUUAGGAAUAGCUUGUGCUUAAAGCAUUUAAGAUUAGGUAACAAAGGGGUAGCUGGGUGGCUUGGUGGAUUGAGAGCCAGGUCUAGAGAUGGGAGGUCCUAGGUUCAAAUCUGGCUUCAGACAUUUCCUAACUCUGUGUGUAUGUGUGUGUGUGUGUGUGUGUGUGUGUGUGUGUGUGUGUGUGUGUGUGAGUGUGUGAGUGAGAGAGAGAGAGAGAGAGAGAGAGAGAGAGAGAGAGAGAAAGAGAGAGAGAGUCUCAAUAUUGUAUAUUGGCUCCAAGGCAGAAGAAUGGUAAGAGCUAGUCAAUGGGGGUUAAGUGACUUGCCCAGGGUCACACAGCUGGGAAGUGUCUGAGGCCAAAUUUGAACCUAGGACCUCCCGUCUCUAGGCCUGGCUGUCAAUCCACUGAGGUACCCAGCUGCACACUUGGCUUGCUCUAAAAGGAAGCCAGGGGAGCCAGAAGACAGAGAAGAGAUGGGAUAGCAUUCCCAGGACAGGAGAUGGCUAGUGAAAACGUCUGGAGUCUGAAAUAUCUUAUUUGAGGGACAGCAAGGAGGCCAGUGUUGCUGGAUCAAAGAAUAUGUAAGGGAGGUGUAAGAUAGAAGAGGACUGGAAAGUGGGGGGUGGAGGAGAGGGGAUGAAAGGCUUUGAAUGUCAAAGAGAUUUUAUAUUUGAUUGUAGAGGUGAUAAGGAGCCACUGGAAUUUAUUGAGUAAGGAGGCGAUAAGGUCAAACCUCUAGGAAGAUCACGUUGACAGCUAGCCUGGAGAGGCUUGUGGUAGGCAGCUCCACCAGCAGGCUCUUGCAACAGUCCAGCUGUGAGGUGAUGAGAGCCUGCAGCAGGAUAGUGGUAGUGUCAGAGGAGAGAUGCGAGUAUAUAUGAGAGGUUUACAGAGGUGAAAAUUGAUAAGCUUUGCCAACAGAUUAGAUACGAGUGGGAGAGAGAGUGAGGACCUGAAAUCCACACUUAGCUUGUGAGCCUCCAUGACUGGGAAGAUGGUGGUACCCUUGAAAGUGAUAGGGAAAGUAGGAAGGAGGGACAUAGGGAGAAGAUAAUGAGUCCAAUUUUGAAUAUGUUGAAUUUAAAAUGCUUAUGGGAAAAAGUGUUUUUUGCUCUCUAUAGGACCUCCAGUUUGAGAUGUGAAUUUAAUGCAAAUUUGUACCCCUCUGUCCUUUUAAAAAAGAAAGUUUUGAAAACCCAUUUUGGUCUCAGCCUUACCCUUUCAUUGGGUGCCCGUAUGUACUUUGGAAGGACUUUAGAGGCAUCCCUGGAGACACUCGUUUCUGGCCCCACAUGGCUCCUGGCAUCUGGAAGCCUGACCUCUGACCCAGACUGGGGUCAAGCCUGUCCAACCAAGGAGACCCAGAAGGAGCGACAUCUCUGGGAUUAUAAAUUGAGGAAGCAUCGAGGACUUUUUGCUAUGGAGCAGAAUCAUGAGAUGAGCCACAAAUUCAGAUUAGCUAGGUGACAGUGCUUUUCUCUCUCCAACCCGCUUUCACUAUCUAAUGAAUAAUUAUAAAUUAAUAUAUAGUGUCCAGAGAAUUUUAAUCCUAAUAAUGUUCAAGAGGCAGUUGGAGGUGCAAGACUGGAAGGCAGUUUUGAGAUUAGGACUGGAUAAGUAGAUUUGAGAAUCAUCAGCAUAGAUUGAAUCCUCAGGAGCCAAUGAGAUCACCAAGUGAAUAAUGUAGUGCAGUGGUUCUCCACCUUUCUAACGCCGUGACCCCGCGGUACAGUUCCUCAUGUUACAGUGACCCCAAAACAAAAAAUUAUUUUGGUGGCUACUUCAAAACUGUAAUUUUGCUACAGUUAUGAUUCGGAAUGUAACUACCUGAUAUGCAUUAUGUAUUCUCAUUGCUACAAAUUGAGAGGUUGAGAACCGCUGAUGUAGAGGGAAAUCAGGAGAGUGAAAAGUAGGAUUUGCUAUAGCUUCACAGAAGGAUUCCUUCUCUAUUAGUGGGAGGUGUAGUAAGCAAAGGAAGAUUGCAAAGUGAUUCUGCAAAAUGAACUGCAUUUGACUGACAGGGACAGGUGACACAGAAUCACAUGGGAGCCUGGGUCAAGAUUCUAAGGUCCCAACUGAAAUUGAACUUCUGGGAGAAGCUUUGGGAGUAGCUGAGAUUUCCAUCUUUCUACAAGACCAAAGAAGAGCCAUCCCUUCUCUGCUGGAUCUACUUUGGACUUUACCUCUGGGAUCUUGGCUCAUUUACUGGGCUCUGUUUUGUGAGGUUCUGUUUGGGAGGAACUUCACUUAUUUAGCCUAGAUAAAUUGGCCAUUGGGAUUGUAUUAAGGGAAUUUAUGUUUGGGGAUAAGAUUAAGAACUUUUCCUUCCCCUUUGUUACCCUCCUUCCUCAUCCAUUCCCAUCAAUAAACUUAAAAUAUUUAGAUGUUUCCCUCUUGUCUCUUUCCCUUAAAGAAUCCCAUAAUGACAGAGGUAGAAAAUAGUUCUAAUAGCACAGGGACUAGAGAAAUUCCACACUAGAUGAAUCAUUUAUUUAUUAAGUGCCUGUUAUAUGCCAAAUAAUUGUCCUAGACACUGUGGCUACAGACAGAAUUCAUAAUAGUUCUUGUCCUCAUGGAGGUUACAUUCUAUGCACAUAUAAGUAAUUGUGAUUUUUUGAGCUCUGAUUUAGGUCUCACAUUUCAAGGGAUCUUAAUUUCUUCUUCCUUGGGAGUUCAGAAUAAUAUCCUGUGGAUCAUACCAAGCAGAAUAUUCUCUGUGCUCUGUACUAUGGUUCUUCUCAGCUUUAAAAUCCUAUGAAGGGGUAGAGCCUAAGAGAGGAAAUAAUACAUGUACAUGAAAAACCAUAAUAAGGAAAGAAAUUAGCAUUAUAAAGUCCUUACUAUGUGCUAAGCAUUCCACUAAGUGCUUUUUACAAAUACCUCAUUUGGUCCUCCUAACAACCCUGAAAGUAAGUACUAUUGUUAUCCUCAUUUUACAAUUGAGGAAACUGAGGCAAAUAGACAUUAAGUGAUCACACAGGUUAAUAAGUGUCUGAGGCUGAUUUUGAACUCAGGCGUUCCUGCCUCCAGUUGCAGUGUUAUAUCCAUUGCACCACCAGUCACCUCAUACAUUAUUCUAUAAAGUUGAAUGACAAAAGGAAAGUACAAAGUUCUUUGUUAAAAUAGU
Molecule: long non-coding RNA, 3864 nt
Organism: Monodelphis domestica (gray short-tailed opossum)
Lineage: Eukaryota; Metazoa; Chordata; Mammalia; Didelphimorphia; Didelphidae
Source: RefSeq, a predicted model, not a curated record